AGUCUGCAACCCGACUUCGUGAAGCUGGAUUCGCUAGUAAUCGCGCAUCAGCCAUGGCGCGGUGAAUACGUUCCCGGGCCUUGUACACACCACCCGUCAAGCCAUGAAAGCCGGGGGUACCUGAAGUACGUAACCGCAAGGAUCGUCCUAGGGUAAAACUGGUAAUUGGGGCUAAGUCGUAACAAGGUACC
This 191-nucleotide ribosomal RNA is filed under the name uncultured bacterium. RNAcentral describes it as "partial 16S ribosomal RNA". It matches the Rfam family "Bacterial small subunit ribosomal RNA", at positions 1302 to 1500 of the family's 1533-position model. The record is from RNAcentral.